AUCCAGAAAUGGCACAAUUUAAAAAAGAAGAGUGUACACAUAUUUAGAAGGUAUGUAUCCAAGUUGUCUUACAGUGUAGACAGUAUUUAUGUACACAAAAUACCACCACACUAAAUAUUUACAUGUAUAACAAGUAUACAUCCACAUGAUGUCUCAAAGUAAUAAUCUUUACUUCUUCAUUCUAUCCCAGAGCCAUUUCUUCCCUCAUCCAAUACACAGAACAGAAAAAAAACAGCAUCUGAAGAAGAGAGCUGCAGCCCAAAGAAAGGAGUCGGAAAGGUGGCCAGUGUUGCCUGGAGACACGUAUUUGUUUCCCAGAGACUGGAACAGAGGUUGACACAGGAGGAAGGAGACAAAGGGGAGGCUCCUCUUAGGAGGAGGAAGUUCACAGCUCCGGGAUGAAAAGAUGAAACUUCCUUUUGGAAAAUCAAGAAGCUGAGGGGUAACUAACAACACAAAGUGCUCCUCCAGGAGCCCUUGAAGGUCGGUCAAAGUUUAUGAGUGCAAGGACCAGUAAUGGUCUCUGGCUGAUACAGAAGAAAUGCACAGAAAGUAUGUUGACAGAUCACGGAAUGGCCAGGAAACCUAGAGAAGCAGGCUCUCACAAGGGGCAGGGAGAAAAAUCAAAUGAGGCUUUGGAACCGGCACCGUUUCUCUGCGGAGCAGGAGGCACGUCCUGGGAAUUCUUGUCUCCAGCACAAAGAGUCGAGGGGGCCCGGUGUGGUCCUGUCUCUGUGGCGCAAUCGGUUAGCGCGUUCGGCUGUUAACCGGAAGGUUGGUGGUUCGAGCCCACCCAGGGACGGGCGGUCGAGGUUUUAGAACCCAUUCGAGGUUUUCCGUGCCGACGACCAUUCAAGCGGUUCUUGGCCCACACAAAAAUAUGCUCUCCUGCAUUCGGGGUCCGGACUGCUGCCAGUCUGGGCCACCUCACCUUUCCCACCCUGUACUCUGCAAGUGCAAGUGUAUUCCUAUUCACUCAUACUUGCCUAAGGCAGGACCUCCUGAGACAGAUCAAGGGAUCCAGUUUCUGGUGGGGUCAAGUCUUUAUUCUGCCAAGUACAUAGACUUAGACAAGUAAGUUAUACCUUAUGUGCCCCAGGUUUUUCACCUGUAAAAGGAGGCCAGCACUUAGCAAUUGUUCUGUCAAUAAUGUUAUCAGUGAACCCACCGUCAUCAUUAGCCUCUGCAUUAUUUUUCAGAAAGGCAUUUCCUACAUGGUUCAUGUAUUAUUUGGUUUCAUGGUUUUAUGAUGACAGAUAUGCUGCAACCAUCAUUAUUGUACUCACACUUCUGACCAUUCGUGCAGGUAUUUAUUUCCACAGUGUAGAAACCUGGAAGUGCAG
RNAcentral lists this transfer RNA (1343 nucleotides) under Bos indicus x Bos taurus (hybrid cattle). RNAcentral's name for it is "lncRNA (ENSBIXG00005028571.1)". The stretch from base 729 to 802 matches the Rfam family "tRNA". Lineage: Eukaryota; Metazoa; Chordata; Mammalia; Artiodactyla; Bovidae. The record is from RNAcentral.